Molecule: unclassified non-coding RNA, 340 nt
Filed under: soil metagenome
Description: partial contains 5.8S ribosomal RNA, internal transcribed spacer 2, and large subunit ribosomal RNA
Rfam family: 5.8S ribosomal RNA (bases 2-121)
Source: RNAcentral
GGAUGAAGAACGCAGCGAAAUGCGAUAAGUAAUGUGAAUUGCAGAAUUCAGUGAAUCAUCGAAUCUUUGAACGCACAUUGCGCCCGCCAGUAUUCUGGCGGGCAUGCCUGUCCGAGCGUCAUUUCAACCAUCAAGCCCCCGGGCUUGUGUUGGGGACCUGCGGCUGCCCGCAGGCCCUGAAAACCAGUGGCGGGCUCGCUGUCACACCGAGCGUAGUAGCAAUCACCUCGCUCAGGGCGUGCUGCGGGUUCCGGCCGUUAAACAGCCUUACAAAACCCAAGGUUGACCUCGGAUCAGGUAGGAAGACCCGCUGAACUUAAGCAUAUCAAUAAGCGGAGGA